This 449-nucleotide ribosomal RNA is filed under the name uncultured bacterium. Its description in RNAcentral is "partial 16S ribosomal RNA". It matches the Rfam family "Bacterial small subunit ribosomal RNA", at positions 338 to 795 of the family's 1533-position model. The record is from RNAcentral.
CCUACGGGGGGCUGCAGUGGGCAAUAUUGGACAAUGGGGGAAACCCUGAUCCAGCAAUGCCGCGUGUGUGAAGAAGGCCUGCGGGUUGUAAAGCACUUUCGGUUGGGAAGAAAAGUUUGGCGCCAAUACCGCCGAACCUUGACGUUACUGACAGAAGAAGCCCCGGCUAACUCUGUGCCAGCAGCCGCGGUAAUACAGAGGGUGCAACGGUGAAUCGGAAUCGCGUGGCGUAACAUGUGCGUCGGGUGUCAAAUCCCCGGGCUUAACCUGGGAACGGCAUUCGAUACUACAUGGCUAGAGUAUGGUAGAGGGAAGUGGAAUGUCCGGUGUAGCGGUGAAAUGCGUAGAUAUCGGAAGGAACACCAAUGGCGAAGGCAGCUUCCUGGACUAAUACUGACACUGAGGCACGAAAGCGUGGGUAGCAAACAGGAUUAGAUACCCUUGUAGUC